This is an RNA transcript of Trichosurus vulpecula (common brushtail), 1326 nucleotides long. It is a transcript of the gene named inter-alpha-trypsin inhibitor-like, with no coding region annotated. The transcript is spliced from 7 exons. The record is from RefSeq and is a predicted model, not a curated record. Lineage: Eukaryota; Metazoa; Chordata; Mammalia; Diprotodontia; Phalangeridae.
CCUUCCAGAUCAAGACCACAGUGAUUAGAGUGAGGAAUCAUUAAUACAAUGAAUUAUGUCCGAGUCACCCUCAUAGUGGCUCUUCUUCUUUCUCUGUCUAUUUCCUCCUCAUCAGGAUGGUCAGAAGAGUGCAAUCUCCCAAAGGAUGAAGGAGAAAUAGGAGUUAUGCUGGGAUACCGAGUCUACUACAAUCGAACAACAAACCGAUGUCAUCCGUUCGUGUACAAGGGUUCAGGGGGGAAUGAGAACCGCUUUCUAACUGAUAUGCAAUGUAUGAGGCACUGUUCUACCUUAGGGGAAAUGCUCUAUCCUGAUGACGAAAGAGCUUGCCUAAUGGAAAAGGAUCCUGGAUCCUGCAGGGCAUCCUAUACAAUGUGGUACUUUGAUCCCCUGGAGAGGAAAUGCCUCAAGUUCCUGUAUGGAGGGUGUGUAGGAAAUGGAAACAGAUUCCUCACCAGAAGAGAGUGUUAUCAGAGAUGUGCUCCAGAAUCAGGUGACAACAACCUGUUCUGGGAUGAAGAUGAGGAAAUUAACACCGGACUCAUUGUGGGAAUCAUCAUAGGAUGUGUGUCAAUAAUUGUUUUGCUUGUGACACUGACUGUGGUCUUCUUGAAGAAGAAGGAGAAAAAGGAGAAGAGGCACAGAAAAGAAAAAGAAACCCAACAAUGGAAUGUUGAAUUGACCUGAAAAAAGAAGCAAUUUGUAUUCAGGCUAAUCACAUGUGAAUAUACAGUUCUUUCAGCUUUUUAUAAACCCCAGGUUAAGAACUUUUGCAAGCCUGAAGACAGUUUCAAGAAGACAUCUCCAGAUAUAUCACUGGCAUGACCAUACAGCCUCCCUAGGUGACUGACUACUUUGAAAGACAGCACAGGUUUGACCAGCUAUAUGGUGCAGUGCUGGAUAAGGGGUUGAGGAAACCCAACUCCAAAUCCUGCCUGUGAUACUCCCUAGCUGUGUGACCCUGGGAAACUCAUUUAAUUUCUUGGAGCCCCAGCUUCCAAAUCUUUAAACAUAUGAAUACUAUCACCUAAAAUACUUAAGUACAUACCUACCAGAGAGGUUAUAAGGCAGAAGCCUCAUAAUGAGACAACAAUGUAAAGCUGUGAUCCUUAAACUGCUAUAUAAAUGUCCUUUGUUGUUAUUAUUACUUUUGGUGUGUUUAUUCUAGAAAUUGCCAUUUUUUACUUUUGCAGUCAUACUCAGGCUGCUAGUUCUGAAAAUUAGCAUCCAUCCAUGGACUUGUUACCAGAUUAGAGCGGUCAGACCUGGGGGCAGGGAUGUAAAUUAAUACAAUAUGUAUCAAUACAAAUUAAACAUAUGCCUUAC